Molecule: small nuclear RNA, 100 nt
Filed under: Otolemur garnettii (small-eared galago)
Lineage: Eukaryota; Metazoa; Chordata; Mammalia; Primates; Galagidae
Source: RNAcentral
GCUCGCUUCAGCAGAACGUACGCUAAAAUUGGACCAAUACAGAGAAGAUUAGCCUGGCCCCUGCUAGGCUAAUCUUCACAAGGAUGACAUAGAAAUUCGU